This 465-nucleotide ribosomal RNA is filed under the name uncultured bacterium. RNAcentral's name for it is "partial 16S ribosomal RNA". It matches the Rfam family "Bacterial small subunit ribosomal RNA", at positions 355 to 811 of the family's 1533-position model. The record is from RNAcentral.
UGGGGAAUUUUGGACAAUGGGCGCAAGCCUGAUCCAGCAAUGCCGCGUGCAGGAUGAAGGCCUUCGGGUUGUAAACUGCUUUUGUACGGAACGAAAAGCCUCUCUCUAAUACAGGGGGGUGAUGACGGUACCGUAAGAAUAAGCACCGGCUAACUACGUGCCAGCAGCCGCGGUAAUACGUAGGGUGCAAGCGUUAAUCGGAAUUACUGGGCGUAAAGCGUGCGCAGGCGGUUUUGUAAGACAGUGGUGAAAUCCCCGGGCUCAACCUGGGAACUGCCAUUGUGACUGCAAGGCUGGAGUGCGGCAGAGGGGGGAUGGAAUUCCGCGUGUAGCAGUGAAAUGCGUAGAUAUGCGGAGGAACACCGAUGGCGAAGGCAAUCCCCUGGGCCUGCACUGACGCUCAUGCACGAAAGCGUGGGGAGCAAACAGGAUUAGAUACCCUGGUAGUCCACGCCCUAAACGAUG